This 84-nucleotide transfer RNA is filed under the name archaeon. RNAcentral describes it as "tRNA-Ser". It matches the Rfam family "tRNA". From Rfam's summary of the family: Transfer RNA (tRNA) molecules are approximately 80 nucleotides in length. Their secondary structure includes four short double-helical elements and three loops (D, anti-codon, and T loops). Further hydrogen bonds mediate the characteristic L-shaped molecular structure. tRNAs have two regions of fundamental functional importance: the anti-codon, which is responsible for specific mRNA codon recognition, and the 3' end, to which the tRNAs corresponding amino acid is attached (by aminoacyl-tRNA synthetases). tRNAs cope with the degeneracy of the genetic code in two manners: having more than one tRNA (with a specific anti-codon) for a particular amino acid; and 'wobble' base-pairing, i.e. permitting non-standard base-pairing at the 3rd anti-codon position. The record is from RNAcentral.
GCCGAGAUCGCAUAACCUGGUAUUGCACCGGACUGCUAAUCCGGGCCCUCUAUGGGCGUCUGGGUUCAAAUCCCAGUCUCGGCG